This 468-nucleotide long non-coding RNA is filed under the name Homo sapiens (human). Its description in RNAcentral is "non-protein coding LINC01510:4". The record is from RNAcentral. Lineage: Eukaryota; Metazoa; Chordata; Mammalia; Primates; Hominidae.
GGUUACUGACUGGGAAAGAAGGAUUCCACUAGCACUGCUUGGCUAUCAAAGCUGGGCAAUGUGAUCCUCUAAGCCACAUGUUUAGCCCCUUGACUGGGCAAACUUCAAACAAGUGACUGAGCUCCCUUAGCUGCCACUGAUUGGACCAGGAUGGACAACAAAUGUAGGAGGAGUUCAUCUGGAUCUAGCCUGAGCCAGUCAGAUAUCCCCUUUGAAUCCAUGCCUAUAGAAAUACAAAAAAAUGGAAGCCAGAGGAUGAUGGAUCCUUGAAGUAAUAAGUCAGGUAGAUCUUGAAAAUUUUUGACUCAAUCCAUAUUGAUGAACACAAGAAUAAUUCUGGUCUACAAAGAGAGGCAAGAGAAAGACUUGGGGUGUAUUAAGAAAAACAGCUCUGUGGAAGUUUGAGUGACUCAUUGCAGAGAGGAAUUGAUGAAGUCAACAGCUGCUGGAAAAACUUCUUUUUCCUUA